RNAcentral lists this long non-coding RNA (1412 nucleotides) under Pan troglodytes (chimpanzee). RNAcentral describes it as "long non-coding RNA NONPTRT009541". The record is from RNAcentral. Lineage: Eukaryota; Metazoa; Chordata; Mammalia; Primates; Hominidae.
GGAGUGCUGAGCAGGACAGGGAGCAGAAGACAGACACAGGAGGGAGGCAAGCUGGGAGCAGGUCCCCAGGGGACCACUGUGCCCACAGCAGGUACGUGCUGGGGGACAGUAUUGCCAGCUGGGAAUGGACACCCAGCUCUGUCGGCCCUCAGCUCCCCACCCUAGCCUUACUGGGCUUCUCCCAUAGCUCUCCUCCCCUGCUCCCUGCCUCACAGGAACCUGGACCUCUCUGAAGCAUAGGCCUGCAUUUCGAGUCACCUCGUAGACAGUCCUCUAAAUGUCCCAAAGACACGUGGGAAUCUUCUGUGAACUUACGGGAUUCCUGGCUGCGGUUCUUUCUUCCCAGCUGCUACCCAGGACCAGAAACAUGCCCUGCUUUAAAACUGUUGGAGUUUUAUCCCCUCUGGAUAAACCCAAGCUUCGAGUGCAUCAUGUCAUGCGGAGCUAGGUGUGGUGGCUCACGCCAAUAAUCCCAGCACUUCGGGAGGCUGAGGCAGGCAGAUCACUUGAGGUCAGGAGUUUGAGCCCAGACUGACCAACAUGGUGAAACCCUGUCUCUACUGAAAACAAAAAAAUGAGCCAGAUGUGGUGAUGCACACCUAUAAUCCCAGCUACUCUGGAGGCUGAGGCAGGAGGAUCCUUUGAACCCAGGAGGUGAAGGUUGCAGUGAGCUGAGAUCUCACCACUGCACUCCAGUCUGGAUGACAGAGCAAGACUCUGUCUCAAAAAAAAAAAAAAAAGUAACAUAGCAUGUCAUGGGGGAUCUGGGCUCUGCCAGCCCCUCUCUUCCAAGUUCAGUGCUCUCACCCCAAGCUUGGAGUACACACACACACACACACACACACACACACACAUGCACAUACGGUACUAUUUUUCACCCCUGCCUUUGUUCCUCUGCUGUUCUUGCUGAAGUGUCCAGCUCCGGCCACCUCACCUGGGAAGCUCCGCUGAGCCCUGCCCAGAUACACCUCCCCUCCCAGCCUUUCCCUCCCAGGGGAUCUGGUGCACACUUACUCACUGCGCUGAUCACACCACAUUUCAUGAUGCUUCCUUUCCCUUCCCUCUCCCCAGCAGGCAAGUUCUUAAAGGCAAGGGUGUGUCUUGUGUGUCUAUAUCAAUCGGAGGCCUCUCCCUUCCUUUCUUCCCUGACCCAGCAGCCUCACCAGAGCAUUCUGUCUGACUAUCUGAUGGAGACACCUUCUGAGCCGAGACAGUGUGGCCAUAGUGGCUGUGUCCUCAGAGAUGAGGAGCCCCUCCUUCCCUUUCACAUUGCUCUCUGGCCUUCCCGGACCUGGCUUCUCGCAGCUUUGUGUGCGUGUUUCUCAGGUGUCCAGGAAUCCCAUGCGAAGUGAAGGCUGCUUUGGUCUCCUCAAGUCUGUCCAGGACAAUCCAGCCUCUGCCCUGGAACUGCU